Molecule: long non-coding RNA, 450 nt
Organism: Oxyura jamaicensis (ruddy duck)
Lineage: Eukaryota; Metazoa; Chordata; Aves; Anseriformes; Anatidae
Exons: 3
Source: RefSeq, a predicted model, not a curated record
GAUCGUGUCCUGUCUGGGGGUUAUGCACAACGCUUCCCCUUCCUCCACUCCGCACUGCUCCGUCCUUGUCCUUUGCUGGGGGCCUUCCAGGCAGGACAGUGAAUGUAUAGGCAUAGUGAUCCCAGGGGAGAUUUCUGGCAGAAAUUACUGACAUGGCUGAUUGCAGGGAGCUGGUGGUGUACCUCUGGCUGGGCCUUUCUUAACCCCAGCUGUGCCACACAAAUGCAGCUGACCUGGGCCUUUCCGUCUUGGUAGAUCUCCUUCAAGGUACUCCAGAUUUAGCUCUUUGUCACAUCUACAGUAUACAUAAAGACAUCCAUUCUCAGGAAGAAGUGCAGGGCUAAGGAAGUUUGUACACUUGGACAGCAAACAUAAAAUUGUGGUGUUUUCUUCCUUGUGGGUGUCAUCAUCUGCAGCUCCACCCAUCAUCUCAGAAGUAUCUUUUCCUUG